UGGGGAAUAUUGCACAAUGGAGGGAACUCUGAUGCAGCGACGCCGCGUGAGUGAUGAAGGACUUCGUUUCGUAAAACUCUGUUCUAUGGGAAGAAAAGGACUGUAUCAUAGGAGAAAGCUCCGGCUAAAUACGUGCCAGCAGCCGCGGUAAUACGUAUGGAGCGAGCGUUGUCCGGAAUUAUUGGGCGUAAAGGGUGCGCAGGCGGCUUUACAAGUUGGAUGUGAAAUAUUGUGACUCAACCACAAACGUGCAUCCAAAACUGCAAAGCUUGAGUUAAGGAGAGGUAAGUCGAAUUCCUGGUGUAGCGGUGGAAUGCGUAGAUAUCAGGAGGAAUACCGGUGGCGAAGGCGACUUACUGGACUUAAACUGACGCUCAGGCACGAAAGCGUGGGGAGCAAACAGG
RNAcentral lists this ribosomal RNA (404 nucleotides) under Fusobacteriota bacterium. Its description in RNAcentral is "Fusobacteria bacterium partial 16S ribosomal RNA". It matches the Rfam family "Bacterial small subunit ribosomal RNA", at positions 355 to 776 of the family's 1533-position model. The record is from RNAcentral. Lineage: Bacteria; Fusobacteriati; Fusobacteriota.